UUAUAGAUACUUAUUGUUAUAAGAAUAAUGUUAAAAUAGAACCAAAUUUAUAUUCUAAUGAUCAUUAUUUAAAAUAUAAUGACUUGGAAAAGUUACAUAAGUACACGAAAAUAAUGUGUCAAGAAGAUAAUUGUAAAAAUAUAUUGAAAUAUGGUUAUAUUUACUGUUGUUAUAAGUUAAGAAAAGUAAAAAAAAUCAAUUUAGUGUUAAUGUUGUUAGAUAAAGAUUUUAUAAAAUAUAGUUGUUAUAAUUCCGUGUAUGAUACUUAUGAAAAAAAAGACAUAAAAGUGUAUAACAAUAGUUUUUAUGAUAUAAAAAAUAUACCUGGCUACAGUGCAGGGUAUUAUUUAUUAGGUAAAAUAUAUGAAAAGGAAGCAAAAAAUGAAUGGUUAAAUGAUACUAAAAAAAAAAAACUUAUAGAUAUUUCUUUUUAUUGUUAUUAUUUAUGCUUUAAAUCAUGUCCAUUUUAUAUAUGUUCAUUAAAAAAGUUAUUAGCGUUACAUGGUAUAUUUUAUUACAAUACUAUGUAUAUGGAUGAAAUUAAAAAAAUUACUAAGUUAUAUAAUUUUACAAUAGAUAUUUAUAAAAAGUGGAAAUGUGAGAUUAUAAAAAAUGAAGAAACUGAAGAUGAAUCUGGAUCAGAAUUCGCAUCAGAGUCCGAUUCAGAUGAAUAUAAAGAAGAAUUACAACAACAUGAAAUGUUAAAAAAAAAAAGAAACACGGAUUUUGAUAAUAACAUUUUAGAGUUAGUAGAUUUAAUGUAUAUAAAAAAUAAUAUAUAUAUAGGAAAUAUAGAGUUUAUAUUGUCAUUAAUAAAUGUAGAUGUAAUAAAUAGUUUUUUUUUAGAUUGGAUAUAUAAUUUUAAAAUUGAUGUUAGCAAGUGUAUGGAUAUUGAAAACAAAAGAACUUGUAUGACAAAAAUUGGUUUACAUGAUUUAGUUACAAUGAGUAAAAUAUAUUACUACUUUUAUUUAAAUAAUUUUAACAAAUGCUUAUUAUUGAUAGAAAAAUAUGAAAAUGAACCUAUUUUUAGUGUAUGUUUUUUUUAUCUUAAAGGGUUAUGUUAUUUUUUACUUCGUAAUUAUAAGAAGGCAAUCUUUUAUUUUGAAAAGAUUAAUGACAUUGAUUGUUAUUAUA
Molecule: long non-coding RNA, 1137 nt
Filed under: Piliocolobus tephrosceles (Ugandan red Colobus)
Lineage: Eukaryota; Metazoa; Chordata; Mammalia; Primates; Cercopithecidae
Description: lncRNA (ENSPTEG00000009535.1)
Source: RNAcentral